RNAcentral lists this ribosomal RNA (498 nucleotides) under uncultured bacterium. Its description in RNAcentral is "partial 16S ribosomal RNA". It matches the Rfam family "Bacterial small subunit ribosomal RNA", at positions 28 to 507 of the family's 1533-position model. The record is from RNAcentral.
GAUGAACGCUGGCGGCGUGCCUAAUACAUGCAAGUCGAGCGAACAGAGUAGGAGCUUGCUCCUCUUACGUUAGCGGCGGACGGGUGAGUAACACGUGGAGAACCUGCCUAUAAGACUGGGAUAACUUCGGGAAACCAGAGCUAAUACCGGAUAAUAUAUUUAAACACAUGGUUCAAGAUUGAAAGACGGUUUUGCUUUCACUUAUAGAUGGAUCCGCUUCGCUGUAGCUAGUUGUUAAGGUAACGGCUUACCAAGGCAACGAUGCAUAGCCGACCGGAGAGGAGGGGCGGGCACAAUGGGAGUGAGACACGGCCCAAACUCCGACGGGAGGCAGAAGUAGGGAAUCUUCGGCAAUGGACGAAAGUCUGACCGAGCAACGCCGCGUGAGUGAAUAAGGUUUUCGGAUCGUAAAACUCUGUUGGUAGAGAAUAACGUUGGUGAGAGUGGAAAGCUCAUCAAGUGACGGGAACUACCCAGAAAGGGACGGCUAACUACGUG